GUGAGGAAUAUUGCACAAUGGGCGAAAGCCUGAUGCAGCAACGCCGCGUGGGUGAAGAAGGCCUUCGGGUCGUAAAACCCUUUUCCGAGGGAAGAGAUAGGACGGUACCUCGGGAAUAAGGUUCGGCUAACUACGUGCCAGCAGCCGCGGUAAAACGUAGGAACCGAGCGUUAUCCGGAUUCACUGGGCGUAAAGCGCCUGCAGGCGGUCUUGUAAGUUGGACGUGAAAUCUCCCGGCUUAACUGGGAGGCGCCGUUCAAUACUGUGAGACUUGAGGACAGAAGAGGGAAGUGGAAUUCCCGGUGUAGUGGUAAAAUGCGUAGAUAUCGGGAGGAACACCAGUGGCGAAGGCGGCUUCCUGGUCUGUCCCUGACGCUAAGAGGCGAAAGCUAGGGGAGCGAACGGGAUUAGAAACCCUGGUAGUCC
This 426-nucleotide ribosomal RNA is filed under the name uncultured bacterium. RNAcentral's name for it is "bacterial SSU rRNA". It matches the Rfam family "Bacterial small subunit ribosomal RNA", at positions 354 to 796 of the family's 1533-position model. The record is from RNAcentral.